UACGAAGGUCCCAAGUGUUAUCCGGAUUUAUUGGGUUUAAAGGGUGCGUAGGCGGGUUAUUAAGUCAGUGGUGAAAGCCUUCAGCUCAACUGAAGAACUGCCAUUGAUACUGAUGAUCUUGAGUACGAUUGAGGUAGGCGGAAUGUGUCAUGUAGCGGUGAAAUGCUUAGAUAUGACACAGAACACCGAUUGCGAAGGCAGCUUACUAAGUCGUAACUGACGCUGAUGCACGAAAGCGUGGGGAGCAAACAGG
Molecule: ribosomal RNA, 253 nt
Filed under: uncultured bacterium
Lineage: Bacteria
Description: partial 16S ribosomal RNA
Rfam family: Bacterial small subunit ribosomal RNA
Source: RNAcentral